UAAGACUUUGUACUGAGUGUGGAAGUUUC
RNAcentral lists this non-coding RNA (29 nucleotides) under Rattus norvegicus (Norway rat). Lineage: Eukaryota; Metazoa; Chordata; Mammalia; Rodentia; Muridae. The record is from RNAcentral.